Molecule: ribosomal RNA, 467 nt
Filed under: uncultured bacterium
Lineage: Bacteria
Description: bacterial SSU rRNA
Rfam family: Bacterial small subunit ribosomal RNA
Source: RNAcentral
GGACGAACGCUGGCGGCGCGCCUAACACAUGCAAGUCGAACGAGCGAGAGAGAGCUUGCUUUCUCAAGCGAGUGGCGAACGGGUGAGUAACGCGUGAGGAACCUGCCUCAAAGAGGGGGACAACAGUUGGAAACGACUGCUAAUACCGCAUAAGCCCACGACCCGGCAUCGGGUAGAGGGAAAAGGAGCAAUCCGCUUUGAGAUGGCCUCGCGUCCGAUUAGCUAGUUGGUGAGGUAACGGCCCACCAAGGCGACGAUCGGUAGCCGGACUGAGAGGUUGAACGGCCACAUUGGGACUGAGACACGGCCCAGACUCCUACGGGAGGCAGCAGUGGGGAAUAUUGCACAAUGGGGGAAACCCUGAUGCAGCGACGCCGCGUGGAGGAAGAAGGUCUUCGGAUUGUAAACUCCUGUUGUUGAGGAAGAUAAUGACGGUACUCAACAAGGAAGUGACGGCUAACUACGUG